GGUGAACCGUAUAAAACUGGCGUAUAUAUUCGUACAAGUUACGAAGGCGUCUCAACUCUGAACGGUCUCUGCAACUCUGUACACUCUUCGAGGGCGGUUUCGGUUAACCAAAAGCGCGUCUUCUUUUUUCGAAACUCGCUUCUUCCUCCCUCCCAUGGCUGCUGCUGCUGCUGCUACUGCUACUUGUUUCCUCUUCCUUCUCUAGAAUUUCCAAUUCUUUACACAUUCGCCGCUCCUUCUUGUCCAAAUUUCUACUUCUGUUUCUUGAUUCUCCGGUUCCCGAAGCAACAAUUUACGCGGAAUUGCUUUCUUGGAAGUGGUUUUGAAGAUAUAGUAUGUGCUGUGGAUAAUUUUUGUCAGAGUAUCUAGGGUUUUGCACCAAUUCUUUUAGUUUUUUACUGGGACUUUUCGUUUUCUGCUUCUGCUGAGAGAAAUUUUGAAGUUUUUUUAAGAAGCUUUGGAAGCAGGGAAAAAAAAAGAUUAGAAAAGGAAACAAUUUUUCACCGGAAAGUAUUUCGGGAAGCAUUGAAGGUCUAAUGUGCUUCCCUUUGUGGGUUUAAGUAGCACACUCUGUUUUUUGUUGUUGAACUUGCCUUAGGUUUUCUUAAGCGUGGCAUUUCUUUGUUCUUGGCUACUAUAAAAUACUGAGUGUCAAAACUCCCCAUGAGAAAUGAGUGACAGGAAAACUAUGUGUAUUCUGGGGCAAUUCUGAUGUAGCUUUCAAGAGAUGAUUUGAGGAAGUGAAUUGCUAGGGUUUAGGAAGUGGCUGUUGGCUUAUUUUUUAAAAUAGAUAAUAGGGAUAACUGUAUGUCAUGGAUAUUGAUAUGGCGGGUGGUGGUGGGGAUGCUCCUUAUUUGGACCCUGAGUUGUUGCAGCUUCCAGAGGUGUCUCCAUUUGUACUCAAAGCGAGUCCUCAGAUUGCUGAGGAGUUGUUCUCUCAAUGGCUGUCACUUCCAGGAACCAGUCGACUGGUGAAAUCUUUAAUUGAUGAUGCGAAGAUUGGCAAUCCCGUUAACUUCUUUGGGAUCUCUGUUAAUACAAGUGCUGGUGGGGGCAAUUCAUUGCCUUCCAUGUUUCCUGCUGGCAGUGCACCUCCGCUUUCACCAAGAAGUUCAUCUGGUUCUCCACGCAUGUCUAAGCAGAAGACAAGCCCUUCUUCAUUGGGUUCUCCAUUAAAAUUAGUUAGUGAACCAGUACGAGAAGUCAUACCUCAGGUUUCACCUACUCCUGACAGCUUCUGUUUUCUAUUUUCGAAAUGGUCGUCCACCGGCAGAUGAACUGAAAGAACAAUGUCUCUCGAGAAUUAAUCAAUUUUUCAGUAAUCAUUUGGAUGGAUUGCGGAUUGAUGAAUUUAAAUCCAUCACCAAGCAAAUUUGCAAGUUACCGUCUUUCUUCUCCACUGCACUUUUUAGAAAGAUAGAUAGUGACUGCAGUGGGAUAGUGACAAGGGAUGCGUUUAUUAAAUACUGGGUGGAUGGCAAUAUGCUGGCAAUGGACAGAACAACUUGCAUAUUCAAUAUUCUAAAGCAGCCAGAAAACAAAUACCUGAUACAGACUGACUUCAAAACUGUCCUUCGAGAACUUUUGGCAACGCAUCCAGGGUUGGAAUUCUUACAAAGCACACCUGAAUUUCAAGAAAGAUAUGCUGAAACGGUUAUAUAUAGAAUAUUCUACUACAUUAAUAGAUCAGGAAAUGGCCGUCUUACCCUUAGGGAGCUGAAACGUGGAAACUUGAUUGAUGCAAUGCAGCAUGCAGACGAAGAAGAGGACAUAAAUAAAGUUUUGAGGUACUUUUCUUAUGAACAUUUUUAUGUGAUAUACUGCAAAUUUUGGGAACUGGACACGGAUCAUGAUUUUCUGAUUGACAAAGAGAACCUGAUCAGAUAUGGUAACCAUGCACUUACCUACCGGAUUGUUGAUAGAAUAUUUUCCCAGGUUUGUGUCAGUGAGAUGAUGCUUUUAUGCUCCGAGCCCAGUCACCUGCAAUACGCAGAAAGAAAAUUUCCUUCUAUUCAACAUUGCAUAUCUCAGUCAUCCCCCUAUCUUCUUAUUCUGUAUUUAAUCAUAUCUUCAUCAUUAUUAGUUAAAGAUCAAAGAUCCGAUUGUGUUUAUCAUUCCAGGUUCCGAGAAAGUUUACUAGUAGGGUUGAAGGGAAAAUGGGAUAUGAAGAUUUUGUCUACUUCAUACUGUCAGAGGAGGAUAAGUCAUCUGAACCUAGUCUUGAGUACUGGUUCAAGUGCAUAGAUUUGGAUGGAAAUGGAGUUUUGACGCGAAAUGAAAUGCAGUUCUUUUAUGAAGAGCAGUUGCAUCGAAUGGAAUGCAUGGCCCAAGAGCCUGUGCUGUUUGAAGAUAUAUUAUGCCAGAUAAUUGACAUGAUUGGACCAGAGGUUUGCUCUAUGCUCUUCUGUAAUUUUAUGGGUAGUUCCACUUUCGGAUACUUGUAGGAGCCUGUUGAAGGAAAAACUUAAAUGGAGGUGAUUGUAAAUAUGGUUAGCUUUUGCCACUGCAAUGCAACACUUAGAAGUGAGGUUUCUUGCAACCGCUGGCAUGGAUUUUAAAGUGUCAUGGCUAAGGCUCUAAGCGAACUCAAUGACUAACUGUUCCUUGAUUUCCAAGAAGAUAGCAUAUACUGCGCAUAGUUAGCCAGUAGGAUCUGAUUUCCUGUAUUAUUGUUCUAAAUGCACCAUUUUUGUAGAUAUUCUGGUUUUCACCCUUGACUUUUUCUUGCAUGCAGAACGAGAGCUAUAUCACAUUAAGUGAUUUAAAAGGUUGUAAACUUUCAGGAAGUGUGUUCAAUAUCCUUUUCAACCUUAACAAGUUUAUGGCCUUCGAAACCCGUGAUCCAUUUCUGAUUCGUCAGGAACGUGAGAAUCCAACAUUGACAGAGUGGGAUCGCUUUGCACAUAGGGAGUACAUCAGGCUUUCAAUGGAAGAAGAUGUAGAGGAUGUCUCAAAUGGAAGUGCAGAUGUUUGGGAUGAAUCACUUGAGGCUCCUUUCUAAGUCAAUGAGCUGCCUAUGUAAAUGUCUCUUGUUGCGUUUAUGAGUUUUGGCAUAGAAGGGAAAUUACACCAUAAGUGAAGCUCAUCAAUUUAUGCUACUUCAGAGCUCUACAUUCAAGGUUGGGCAUGACUUCGACAUGCAAAUUGCUCCAGUAGGCAACAAGCUUGCCUUUUGCUGGACCCCAGAAUUAUGUGGUGUCAAUUUCAUGAUUUGCCUGGGAGUCAUUUGAAUUGAGAGAUGGCUGCUGUCUAAUUGUUCACCACCCAGGUGACAGAAGUUCAUACGGUUGUUGUUGCAUAGCUAUGUUACUUCCAGAUCAUCAGGUCCAUUUCU
RNAcentral lists this unclassified non-coding RNA (3334 nucleotides) under Hevea brasiliensis (rubber tree). The record is from RNAcentral. Lineage: Eukaryota; Viridiplantae; Streptophyta; Magnoliopsida; Malpighiales; Euphorbiaceae.